This 336-nucleotide unclassified non-coding RNA is filed under the name soil metagenome. RNAcentral's name for it is "partial contains 5.8S ribosomal RNA, internal transcribed spacer 2, and large subunit ribosomal RNA". The stretch from base 1 to 120 matches the Rfam family "5.8S ribosomal RNA", at positions 35 to 154 of the family's 154-position model. The record is from RNAcentral.
GAUGAAGAACGUAGCGAAAUGCGAUAAGUAGUGUGAAUUGCAGAAUUCAGUGAAUCAUCGAAUCUUUGAACGCACAUUGCGCCCCUUGGUAUUCCAUGGGGCAUGCCUGUUCGAGCGUCAUUUGUACCUUCAAGCUCUGCUUGGUGUUGGGUGUUUGUCUCGCCUCUGCGUGUAGACUCGCCUUAAAACAAUUGGCAGCCGGCGUAUUGAUUUCGGAGCGCAGUACAUCUCGCGCUUUGCACUCAUAACGACAGCGUCCAAAAGUACAUUUUACACUCUUGACCUCGGAUCAGGUAGGGAUACCCGCUGAACUUAAGCAUAUCAAUAAGCGGAGGA